GUUGGGGGUGGGGCUCUGGUGGACCCAACGUCUAGGGCUGGUCUGCGCAAGAGGCCCCUUGCCUUCCCUGGGGUCUCAGCCCCACCCUGUCCACAUAUUGCCUCUCCCUUCUGCUAGGGUGACCCCUGUGAAGUGUGCCCAACACUGCCUGAAGGGUUCCAGAACUUUGUUGGACUUCCUGGAAAGCCAGGGCCCAAAGGGGAGCCUGGUGAUCCUGUACCAGCCAGGGGAGACCCUGGCAUCCAAGGCAUCAAAGGAGAGAAGGUGAGGGAGCCCUGCUCUCCUGGCUGCCCUCCUCUGCCUACCUGGAAGCAUUUCUGAUCCUUCCUCUUCUUUCCCCAGGGGGAGCCCUGCUUGUCCUGCAGCUCGGUUGUAGGGGCCCAGCAUCUUGUGUCCUCCACAGGGGCCAGUGGAGAUGUGGGUUCCCCUGGCUUUGGUCUGCCUGGCCUUCCGGGUAGAGCUGGGGUUCCAGGGCUGAAAGGAGAGAAGGGUAACUUCGGGGAGGCAGGGCCAGCUGGCAGUCCAGGGACACCAGGACCAGUGGGGCCAGCAGGCAUCAAAGGGGCGAAGGGGGAGCCCUGUGAGCCGUGCCCAGCCCUGUCCAACCUUCAGGAUGGGGAUGUCCGUGUGGUGGCCUUGCCUGGCCCAUCCGGAGAGAA
This 659-nucleotide small RNA is filed under the name Pan troglodytes (chimpanzee). Its description in RNAcentral is "processed transcript". The record is from RNAcentral. Lineage: Eukaryota; Metazoa; Chordata; Mammalia; Primates; Hominidae.